This 348-nucleotide long non-coding RNA is filed under the name Homo sapiens (human). RNAcentral describes it as "novel transcript". Lineage: Eukaryota; Metazoa; Chordata; Mammalia; Primates; Hominidae. The record is from RNAcentral.
AAGUAUAAAUCAGAACGAAAGAAAUUGCUUCCCUAGAACAAAUCCAUUGACUGAGAUAUGCAGUGAAAGGAAUCCAAGCUGGCUGGGAAGAAAAUCACUUGGCCCCCCGAGAUAAAUGUGGUCAAGGAAUCCUGACUGACAACGUCAGCAAAAGCAGAAAGAUUUCGUUGCAGUUUCGGUAAAAACUUCCCUCAUCAAAUGAACUGAAAAAUAAUCCUUUCUCCAGCAUUUUCAGGAAGAGUUUGUGAAGGUUUGAUAUAUCUUCUGCAAAUAUCUGACAGAAUUCACCAACAAAGAUUGUAUUGUAUUCAAGCAUCUAAUCUGGAGAUUAAAAUAUAAUAACCUGCA